GUUUUGGUCUCAGUUCUUAAUAGAUGAUGGCUGAAAAUAUUCUCUAAUAAUUAGUUUGACUUUGCUGUUUGAAUAGAAUAUCGCUACUACAGGUAUGUGUAGCGAUGUUUCAAACGCACAGUUGGCUGUUUUUUCCUCGCAUCAGCGGUCACGCGCCCUUUCUGUCGUUGCACAUUAAUUAUUCCCACAGUCUCCGGAUAGGCUAUUAAUGCGUUUUUUUCGCGGUGCCCGCUGUCUUAAUGCGUUUUCCCAGUUUCUAACAAAGAAUUCACUCUGUCUCGGGCGCGUGAUGCACUGCAAAUUGAAAGAUGGCGCGAAAGAGCUCUUGAGUCGGCGCGGCGCGUUCAGGUGCACACACCUCCAGCAAAAACUACGCACUCAGCUCUGUCUGCUUCAGACCGAAUCAUUUUAGGUGCACGGAAGGGAUAACGCUAGGCACAUAAUCUCAACACGACAGUACGUUCAGCUCCUCUGUAUUUCCAAGGAAGACACGCAAAGGACUGCCAUGAGCUGUCGUGUCUAGUGACCCGCUGGCGAUGGGAUCUGACCGGCAUACUGAUACGCUCCGCCAGCAGCGUCAGCAUCGGGGAUCGAGACAGACGCAAGAACACCUCGCCGCGCCACUUUGGUUUUCGUUAGAGUUGCUCAUUUCUUUGCGUUUGUAGUAUUUUGAUGUUGGUCUCGUCGUCGCGCAUGCGUUGCUGUGUAGUUGAAAUUGCUGGAGCGCUUCUUCAGACUGAGUUUGGGCUACUGCUUCUCGGUCGAUGAUGAGAGGGAUGCUGGUCGCACGGGAUCACUGGCGCGCGGGGAUCUUGUGUCUCCUAGUGCUCGUGGCUUUGACGGUCGGUCGCAGCCCGCCAACGCACAGUGUAAAUGAACCAAGCAACAUGUCAUAUGUCAAAGUCACCGUGGAUAAACUACUCAAAGGCUACGACAUCCGUCUCAGGCCUGACUUUGGAGGUCCUCCGGUUGAUGUCGUUAUGAGUAUCGACAUCUCCAGUAUCGACAUGGUGUCAGAAGUGAACAUGGACUAUACCAUCACCAUGUAUUUCCAGCAGUCUUGGCGUGAUAAGCGCCUGUCCUACACAGGGAUUCCCCUCAAUCUUACUUUGGAUAACCGAGUGGCUGAUCAACUAUGGGUGCCUGAUACUUACUUUAUUAAUGACAAGAAAUCUUUUGUCCACGGGGUCACAGUGAAGAACCGCAUGAUUCGUCUGCAUCCUGAUGGGAAUGUGCUCUAUGGCCUCAGGAUAACUACCACAGCUGCAUGCAUGAUGGAUUUGCGGAGAUACCCGCUGGAUGAGCAGAACUGCACGCUGGAGAUUGAAAGUUAUGGCUACACCACAGAUGACAUUGAGUUCUACUGGCAGGGAGGACGUUCAGUGACAGGGGUGGACAACAUUGAGCUGCCGCAAUUCUCUAUUAUUGAUUAUAAAACACUGUCUACGAAAGCGGUGUUUGCCACAGGGUCAUAUCCUCGUCUGUCUCUCAGUUUUAAACUGAAGAGAAACAUUGGAUAUUUCAUCCUGCAGACCUACAUGCCUUCAACAUUGAUCACCAUCCUGUCCUGGGUCUCUUUCUGGAUCAACUAUGAUGCUUCUGCUGCAAGAGUUGCGCUAGGAAUCACCACCGUUCUGACUAUGACCACAAUCAACACUCAUCUUAGGGAGACUUUACCCAAGAUCCCUUAUGUGAAGGCCAUAGACAUCUAUCUGAUGGGCUGCUUUGUCUUUGUGUUCCUGGCCUUGCUCGAGUAUGCCUUCGUCAACUACAUAUUCUUCGGCCGUGGUCCACACUUGCAGAAGAAAGUGGCAGAAAAAGCUGCAAAAAGCAACAAUGGAAAGAGUCGGAUGGAGAGUAACAAAGUUCAGUUUGAUGUCCAUGGAAACAUUCCCCUGACAAACCUUGACCUGCGCCUUAGUGGAGCAGAGAUGUUAGGUGCUUUUGGGGACCCAAGGAACACCAUGUUCUCUUAUGAUAGUGCCAGCAUCCAAUACCGUAAGCCCCUUACAGGUCGGGACCUCUAUGGCCGGCCCACCGCCUCUGUCGAGAGGCCAGUGUCACGAAAAAAGAGUCAUCUUAGGAGGCGAGCCGCUCAGCUAAGGGUGAAGAUUCCAGACCUGACAGACGUAAACGCCAUCGACAAGUGGUCACGUGUCAUCUUUCCCAUCACCUACACCUUCUUUAACUUAGUAUACUGGCUGUAUUAUGUCCACUAGGGAGCAGCACUGACUCGACCCAGCCAUUCACACAUCAGGUCAGGCUCUCUUACCCUCCUUGUGGUUUUGACGGUCAGUCAGACAGGAGGAGGAGGUGCAUUCUGUAGUCAGUCUGCCAGGAACGGAUGUCCUUACAUCAGUAUAACAACACAUGGUGACAAGCAGGAUGUGAGUUUAAAGUCCACACAGUAUGGAAAUUUGUACAUUAAAAUAUAUCAGGUAUUGAAAGAUGAAUGAUGUCAUCAUGUUUUUCUCUACUUUUUCUUUUAAACCAAAAAAUCCUGCAUAUUUCAUUUAUAGCAGAAGUUGAGUUUUAUACUGUAAAGCCCAAUAUAUAAAAUCCAGAUUCAUUAGCAAGAGGUUAAAAGACAAAAGUGGUUUCAGGAAAGUGAUAUAUUAGUUCCUAUUGUUCAGUAUUUGACUCGGCAUUCCCAACAUUAUUGUGAUCGAAAUGUAGCUAUGAUUUUAGAUAUGAGCAAUGUUUUAGGGAUGCAGUUAUAUCUAUUUAUAUAGGAAGUGACUUCACAGUAUUUACCUUACACAUUUGCAUUUAGGUUUAUACUUUGCUAUUCACUGUGAGUUAUAUAUUAGCCAAGCUCACCAAAACGGCAGAUAAGACUUCUAACAAAUUAGAUUUUUCUUCUUUAUGGCUGAACUUGUGCCUUUUAAGAAAAAAAAAACAUGUAUUUUACAGGGUUUAGCAUGCAACAGCAGAGUAGAAAUAUUCUGAAUGGAUUUCCACUUUUCUAUAGAACUAAUAUUACUCAAGGGUAGCACACGUAAUCAAAAUCAAAGGUACUUUCAAGGCCUUUUCCAAUGCCCUGCAUUAAUAUUCACUAUAUUAUAAAUACACAAAAUGUGUUUGGCAUGUAAAUAAAUUGCUUGCAUUGCAACACUCUUUUUGUUUCAGUGACAAGUUGACUGGGACAUGAGCUGGUUUGUUUGUUGUCCAGGAGUGAAUUAACUUUACGAAAUUCUCCAUUAAAGCAAAAAUCAAAGAGAUCUCAAGACUGGCAACGUAAAAACAAAGCAUAUUCACACGUGCUCAAGCCAGAAUCAGAAACACAUAAAAGUGAAUUUAUAUGUAACUUUUUAUAGGCCAUCUAUCACUCAUACAUUGUGUUUUGGCUUGGGAUGC
RNA transcript from Sinocyclocheilus rhinocerous, 3357 nucleotides. It is a transcript of the gene named gamma-aminobutyric acid receptor subunit beta-1-like, with no coding region annotated. The transcript has 10 exons. Lineage: Eukaryota; Metazoa; Chordata; Actinopteri; Cypriniformes; Cyprinidae. The record is from RefSeq and is a predicted model, not a curated record.